AUUGAACGCUGGCGGCAGGCCUAACACAUGCAAGUCGAGCGGAUGAAGGGAGCUUGCUCCUGGAUUCAGCGGCGGACGGGUGAGUAAUGCCUAGGAAUCUGCCUGGUAGUGGGGGAUAACGUCCAGAAACGGGCGCUAAUACCGCAUACGUCCUGAGGGAGAAAGUGGGGGAUCUUCGGACCUCACGCUAUCAGAUGGGCCUAGGUCGGAUUAGCUAGUUGGUGGGGUAAAGGCCUACCAAGGCGACGAUCCGUAACUGGUCUGAGAGGAUGAUCAGUCACACUGGAACUGAGACACGGUCCAGACUCCUACGGGAGGCAGCAGUGGGGAAUAUUGGACAAUGGGCGAAAGCCUGAUCCAGCCAUGCCGCGUGUGUGAAGAAGGUCUUCGGAUUGUAAAGCACUUUAAGUUGGGAGGAAGGGCAGUAAGUUAAUACCUUGCUGUUUUGACGUUACCAACAGAAUAAGCACCGGCUAACUUCGUG
This 484-nucleotide ribosomal RNA is filed under the name uncultured bacterium. Its description in RNAcentral is "partial 16S ribosomal RNA". It matches the Rfam family "Bacterial small subunit ribosomal RNA", at positions 30 to 507 of the family's 1533-position model. The record is from RNAcentral.